GAGAAAAGAAGGGCUCCUUGGUGACAGGAAAUGCAGAUCCUGAUUGUGGGAAUUUUCUGGCAAUAGUAGAAUAUAGUUGUUUGAGUGUUUAUCUUGGUGAUUCAGAUGAUGAGACAGGUAGAAAAAUAGGUAUGGAAUUUAGGGUACUACAUGACCGAGGGCUUUGGUCUGCCUUAGGUAUUGAAAUUGAACAAAAUCAUUGAUGAAUCUAAUAUUCACUACGCAAAUCAUUUCAGAUGAUUAAGUGCAAUUUUGUGACUAAAUAAAAAAAAGGUGACCCAGUGCGCAAAGCAUCCCACACUUGUGGG
RNAcentral lists this unclassified non-coding RNA (308 nucleotides) under Hevea brasiliensis (rubber tree). Lineage: Eukaryota; Viridiplantae; Streptophyta; Magnoliopsida; Malpighiales; Euphorbiaceae. The record is from RNAcentral.